AACCUUAUGGACCUGCGGGCGUAUACCUGCGGAAGGAUCAUUACACAAUAAACAUAUGAAGGCUGCACCGCCAACAGGCGGCAAGGCUGGAGUAUUUUAUUACCCUUGUCUUUUGCGCACUUGUUGUUUCCUGGGCGGGUUCGCCCGCCUCCAGGACCACAUGAUAAACCUUUUUUAUGCAGUUGCAAUCAGCGUCAGUACAACAAAUGUAAAUCAUUUACAACUUUUAGCAACGGAUCU
RNAcentral lists this unclassified non-coding RNA (240 nucleotides) under soil metagenome. RNAcentral describes it as "partial contains 5.8S ribosomal RNA, internal transcribed spacer 2, and large subunit ribosomal RNA". The record is from RNAcentral.